CCUAGCACCGGUUCCUCAAGCCAAAAGCAUUUGCUUCUCUUUAUCUUGUUCGUUGCGGCUUUGAUGGAGAUUUGAGAAUGAGACAUGGGGUUGCGGUGGUUCGAUUGCGGCAUGAGGAAGGUUUGAGUGGUGUUUUGGAUUGGUAGUUUUUCUUCCGCUGAGGCAUGGCUUUCGAUGAGAAACAGGGUUCUCGAAUUAGGUAGUGGUGGUGGUAUCUGCUUCAAGAGUUGGCGGUGGAGGUCUCUUUGGGUUGCGUUUCUUUUCAAACGGAUUUAAGGUUGCAGACUUAUUUUUGCCAAUCGGUGAACGAUGCUGGUUCAUCAUCUUCAACAAAAAUUGGGUUUCAAUAAAAAAACCCGAGAGUCGUCUUCUUUGCCAUUAGCAGACACAUAUCGAUUUCUAGAACGACGUUUUCCCGGUGAUUUGCGAUAAGUGGUUUGAGCAAAGGAGAAAAAGAUAUCGCCUUUAGCAUCUGAUGGAUCUUCGCCAGCGGAUUUACCAGUGAGAGUGGCUUCACUUCUUCAGACACAAUCAACGAGGUCCCUGGAGAAUAGCCAGUUGAAGAAGCAGGUGGCCAUAUUAUAGCAUGGCAAGCUCAUGAGGGAAGGAAGAGGCUCUUCCAGAUGAUAAAUGAUCUCCCAACCAUUUUUGAGGUUGACAACCACAACAGUAGCAGAAGCAAAUCUAUCGGUGCCAAGCCUCGCCACUCUGAAUCUCACACUAAGGCUUCAAAGAUGUCCCCACCACCAAAAGAAGAAGAUGAGAGUGGAGAUGAGGAGGAAGAUGACGAACAAGGUUACAAUGCAAGCGAUUUGUGUAGGUGAGUACAAGUUAUCAAAGAAGGACCCUCUGAGACUAAAAUCUGGAUUGGGAUACUGAGGGUGCAAUAACAACAAUUAGCUCUAGUGAAUUAUAUAUAGUCUUUUCUAUACCUCUAUUUGUAUGGUUGGAUAAAUACAAAUUAGAACAUCCUCCGUUGCUAUAUUGUCUUCUUUUGAAAUUUAUAAAAUUUAUCAAUUUGCUCUU
Camelina sativa (false flax) is the source of this 1026-nucleotide long non-coding RNA. RefSeq lists it as uncharacterized. Lineage: Eukaryota; Viridiplantae; Streptophyta; Magnoliopsida; Brassicales; Brassicaceae. The record is from RefSeq and is a predicted model, not a curated record.